Molecule: ribosomal RNA, 499 nt
Filed under: uncultured Glomeromycotina
Lineage: Eukaryota; Fungi; Glomeromycota
Description: SSU rRNA
Rfam family: Eukaryotic small subunit ribosomal RNA
Source: RNAcentral
CCAAUAGCGUAUAUUAAAGUUGCUGCAGUUAAAAAGCUCGUAGUUGAAUUUCGGGACCGAUAUGUCGGUCGUGCCUCGGUACGUACUGGUAUUUUCGGUUUCUCCCUUCUGACGAACCUUGAUGUCAUUAAUUUGGUGUCUUGGGGAAUCAGGACUGUUACUUUGAAAAAAUUAGAGUGUUUAAAGCAGGCUCACGCUUGAAUACAUUAGCAUGGAAUAAUGAAAUAGGACGUUUGAUUCUAUUUUGUUGGUUUCUAGGAUUGACGUAAUGAUUAAUAGGGAUAGUUGGGGGCAUUAGUAUUCAAUUGUCAGAGGUGAAAUUCUUGGAUUUAUUGAAGACUAACUACUGCGAAAGCAUUUGCCAAGGAUGUUUUCAUUAAUCAAGAACGAAAGUUAGGGGAUCGAAGACGAUCAGAUACCGUCGUAGUCUUAACCAUAAACUAUGCCGACUAGGGAUCGGAUGAUGUUAAUUUUUUAAUGACUCAUUCGGCGCCUUACG